This 210-nucleotide ribosomal RNA is filed under the name Klebsiella pneumoniae. RNAcentral's name for it is "partial 23S ribosomal RNA". It matches the Rfam family "Bacterial large subunit ribosomal RNA", at positions 2733 to 2925 of the family's 2925-position model. Lineage: Bacteria; Pseudomonadati; Pseudomonadota; Gammaproteobacteria; Enterobacterales; Enterobacteriaceae. The record is from RNAcentral. RNAcentral also lists the same sequence under 2 other names.
UGGCACUGCCCGGUAGCUAAAUGCGGAAGAGAUAAGUGCUGAAAGCAUCUAAGCACGAAACUUGCCCCGAGAUGAGUUCUCCCUGAGACUUUAAGUCUCCUGAAGGAACGUUGAAGACGACGACGUUGAUAGGCCGGGUGUGUAAGCGCAGCGAUGCGUUGAGCUAACCGGUACUAAUGAACCGUGAGGCUUAACCUUACAACGCCGAAG